This 451-nucleotide ribosomal RNA is filed under the name uncultured bacterium. Its description in RNAcentral is "bacterial SSU rRNA". It matches the Rfam family "Bacterial small subunit ribosomal RNA", at positions 340 to 782 of the family's 1533-position model. The record is from RNAcentral.
UACGGGAGGCAGCAGUGGGGAAUAUUGCACAAUGGGCGCAAGCCUGAUGCAGCCAUGCCGCGUGUAUGAAGAAGGCCUUCGGGUUGUAAAGUACUUUCAGUCGUGAGGAAGGUGUUAAGGUUAAUAACCUUAGCAAUUGACGUUAGCGACAGAAGAAGCACCGGCUAACUCCGUGCCAGCAGCCGCGGUAAUACGGAGGGUGCGAGCGUUAAUCGGAAUUACUGGGCGUAAAGGGCACGCAGGCGGUUAAUUAAGUUGGAUGUGAAAUCCCCGGGCUUAACCUGGGAAUGGCAUUCAAGACUGGUUAGCUAGAGUCUUGUAGAGGGGGUAGAAUUCCAUGUGUAGCGGUGAAAUGCGUAGAGAUGUGGAGGAAUACCGGUGGCGAAGGCGGCCCCUGGACAAAGACUGACGCUCAUGUGCGAAAGCGUGGGGAGCGAAACAGGGAUUUAGA